Molecule: ribosomal RNA, 1695 nt
Filed under: uncultured organism
Description: bacterial LSU rRNA
Rfam family: Bacterial large subunit ribosomal RNA
Source: RNAcentral
UGGUAGGGGAGCAUUGUGUGCUGGCCGAAGCUGUACUGAAAGGAGCAGUGGACGGCACAGAAGAGAGACUGCCGGUAUGAGUAGCGAGAAAGGGGUGGGAAUCCCCUUCGCCGAAAGUCUAAGGUUUCCUGAGGAAGGUUCGUCCACUCAGGGUAAGCCGGGACCUAAGCCGAGGCCGAAAGGCGUAGGUGAUGGAGAAUCGGUAGAGAUUCCGAUGCCACUAUUAAUUGUUUGAGCGAAGUGGGGACGCGGCAAAGAGGAAAGAGCACGCGACCGGAGGAUGCGUGUAGAAGUUUCUGGUCAGGGAAGUGAGGCAAAUCCCGCUUUCCGUUGAAGGUCAGAAGCGAUAAGGAGCCAAAUGAGGCGAAGCUUUCCGAUAAGCCGCCGAGAAAAUCCGCUAGCGAGAUUGAUAGUGCCCGUACCGCAAACCGACACAGGUAGACAGGGAGAGGAUCCCGAGGCGAGCGAGAGAACCCUUGUCAAGGAACUCGGCAAAAUGACCCCGUAACUUAGGGAGAAGGGGUGCUGUGAGUAGCAGUUUCAGAAACCAGGCCCAAGCGACUGUUUAUCAAAAACACAGGUCUCUGCUAAGUCAGAAGACGAAGUAUAGGGGCUGACGCCUGCCCGGUGCUGGAAGGUCAAGGGGAGGACUUAGUACCCAUUACGGGUGCGAAGGUUUGAACCUAAGCCCCAGUAAACGGCGGCCGUAACUAUAACGGUCCUAAGGUAGCGAAAUUCCUUGUCGGGUAAGUUCCGACCUGCACGAAUGGCGAAACGACUUGGGCGCUGUCUCGACAGGGGGCUCGGCGAAAUUGGAGUACCUGUGAAGAUACAGGUUACCUACGACAGGACGGAAAGACCCCGUGGAGCUUUACUGCAGCCUGAUAUUGGGUUUGACUGGACAAUGUACAGGAUAGGUGGGAGGCGAUGAGGCUGGUGCGCCAGCAUCAGCACAGCCACAGGUGGGAUACCACCCUUUGUGCAGUUAAAUUCUAACCAGAGGCCGUAAGCCGGUCAUGGGACAUUGUCAGGCGGGCAGUUUGACUGGGGCGGUCGCCUCCCAAACCCUAACGGAGGCGUCCAAAGGUUCCCUCAGUGCGGAUGGAAAUCGCACGCAGAGUGUAAAGGCAGAAGGGAGCUUAACUGCAAGACAGACAAGUCGAGCAGGUAGGAAACUAGGGCUUAGUGAUCCGGCGGUAGAGAGUGGAAUUGCCGUCGCUCAACGGAUAAAAGUUACCCCGGGGAUAACAGGCUUAUCUCCCCCAAGAGUUCACAUCGACGGGGAGGUUUGGCACCUCGAUGUCGGCUCGUCGCAUCCUGGAGCUGAAGCAGGUUCCAAGGGUUGGGCUGUUCGCCCAUUAAAGCGGUACGCGAGCUGGGUUCAGAACGUCGUGAGACAGUUCGGUCCCUAUCCGUCGUAGGCGCAGGAUACCUGAGGGGAGCUAUCCCCAGUACGAGAGGACCGGGAUGGACACACCGCUGGUGUAUCAGUUGUUCCGCCAGGAGCAUAGCUGGGUAGCCAUGUGUGGCAUGGGUAAACGCUGAAAGCAUCUAAGCGUGAAACCACCCUCAAGACUAGGUAUCCCACUUGUAAAGAGUUAAGGCCCCUGAUAGAAGAUCAGGUAGAUAGGCCGGAGGUGUAAGUGUGGCAACACAUUCAGCUGACCGGUACUAAUAGGUCGAGGGCUUAAAAUC